RNAcentral lists this ribosomal RNA (401 nucleotides) under uncultured Chlorobiota bacterium. RNAcentral describes it as "bacterial SSU rRNA". It matches the Rfam family "Bacterial small subunit ribosomal RNA", at positions 19 to 452 of the family's 1533-position model. Lineage: Bacteria; Pseudomonadati; Chlorobiota. The record is from RNAcentral.
CUGGCUCAGGACGACGCUGGCGGCGUGCCUAACACAUGCAAGCCAGAGGAAAGUGGCAACACGAGUACUCGGCCAAGGGUGCGUAAUGCAUAGGUUGUCUGCCCCUCGGUCUGGGAUAACCCAUCGAAAGAUGGAUAAUACCAGAUGAUGAGGCAACUCCAAAGGAAACGCCGAGGGAUGAGCCUAUGUCCAUCAGGUAGUUGGUAGGGUAACGGCCUACCAAGCCGACGACGGGUAGCUGGUCUGAGAGAUGAUCAGCCACACUGGAACUGAGACACGGUCCAUACUCCUACGGGAGGCAGCAGUUAAAAUCUUGCUCAAUGGGGGAAACCCUGAAGCAGCGACGCCGCGUGAGCGAUGAAGGUCUUGGAUUGUAAAGCUCAGUAAGUGGGGACGAAGAA